Molecule: long non-coding RNA, 1047 nt
Organism: Psammomys obesus (fat sand rat)
Lineage: Eukaryota; Metazoa; Chordata; Mammalia; Rodentia; Muridae
Exons: 3
Source: RefSeq, a predicted model, not a curated record
UUUCUAGGUCUUCACUCCGAUCAUUGAGCUCCGUGAUUAAGUCAUACAUGACAUUCUGCAUCUGGGAGAGACAUGGUGGAAGACAGAAAGGAGACCAUUACCACAGAGAAAUCUGCCAUGGGAUGAUGAAAAGGCCUCUACCUUGCAGCAGGAGCCACCUCUGCCCAGGGGUAUCACCAAAGAAUUCCAGGACUUUCCAGGGUCUCACUAUAUAACCCUCAAUGGCCUGGAACUCAGUAUGUAGACCCAGCUGGCCUUGAACACACAGCAAUCUUGCCUGUUUCUAUUUCCUGAAUGCUGGGAUUAAAGGUAUGCAUCACCAUGCCCAACUUAAUUAUCAAUUUUAAAUGGCAAAUAUGCAUGGAAGAAAAGAAAAUCUCCUUUUCCUUAAAUGGAACACAGCUCUAAGCGGUUCUCAGAUUCACACAGGGUGCUGGCAUCUAAGGACUCAAGAGAAGACAAUGAGGGGGAUGGUCAAUGCUGUGGACUCAUAACGAAGAAGUUAAGGCUCAAGUGCAAGUCUUCAGCUCACAAGCAAUUCACUUAAACUCUCCCAUCCCAGCAUCCAGAUAAAGCUGGAGUUAAUAAUUACACAUAGUUAUGAGAUUGCAUCCGCAUCCCCCCCCCAUCAGCCAGAAUACAAAGUGUAAUCAAUGCCUCAGGCAUGAUCCUCGACCAGAACAGGCUGCCCUGCUGAGGAGGCGCCCAUCUGCUCCUUGGUUGAAGAGGAUGCACAAAGGCCUGGAACAGGCUGCUUCUUUUAAGGGCCAUCCUACCUGGCUGAGGCCUUGGCUGAUUCGAUAACACUGGUCACUUCAGAACAGUAUGCCCUCUACCCUGCCUGGCAAAUGCUGCCUUGAGGGUGCUCCUGAUGGCCUCCUGACCUCAACACUUCACACAGUGUUCUUAGGUCUAUACCAGAGCUCCCUGCCCAGAUCCCCUGUGGCCCCUAUGCUGAUUACAGAACCUGAGACUAUAUUCAACAGCUGGUCAACAAGCACCAGGAACGCUGGCUCUCAUUUGAAAGCUCCAGGCUGUGACUCAGCA